This 662-nucleotide long non-coding RNA is filed under the name Panax ginseng (ginseng). RNAcentral's name for it is "long non-coding RNA (PGIN_LNC009753)". The record is from RNAcentral. Lineage: Eukaryota; Viridiplantae; Streptophyta; Magnoliopsida; Apiales; Araliaceae.
CACAACUUAAUUCAUUGUACUUUUGUGUCAACAAAUUGCAAGCCAAACCCACAAGAGUACUUUGAGCCAUCAAUGUAGAACCUGAAGGCCAACAUACAGAAGAUUUUGUCUGUAAGACUACAAGACCAGACCACAAUAUAAUAACACAUCAAAUACAAAUUGAUGGUCCUUGUAAUUUUAAGGUAGUUGUUUGAGGUGGAUUAAUUUUUCUUUGUUGGUGGCUGGUGAGAAAAUAGAGAUUAGGGUCCUGGGAAAAGGAAAAGGGAUUUUUUUUUUCAGAAUUUCUGAUUAUAAUUCAAAGGCAACAUGAAGUCGUCCUUAUCCCUCCAUUUCUGCUAGCCCAUACAACUAGUCCAUUACCGUUUGAUUUGUUUUUUUCAUAAAAGGAAAAAAUUACAGAAACCCAACAUAAACCUCAUGCUGCCUCUACCUUAUGUAGGGGAAAUAUGUGUAAUCAUUGCAGAUGAGUAGUUACCCAAAAAUUGAGGUACAAAAUGGAUAAAAAUGCUGAGUUCUACACAAAGUUUUUAACUAGAGACACUAAACAUCAUAGCAUUUCUAGCAUAAGCAAAAUUUACUAGUAACAGAGGGGAAACAUACUGGGAGUUUCAUGAUAACCCACAGAUCGUAAAUGAAAUGCAACCAAAAAGCAACCUCAUAUU